Molecule: non-coding RNA, 93 nt
Organism: Lactifluus volemus
Lineage: Eukaryota; Fungi; Basidiomycota; Agaricomycetes; Russulales; Russulaceae
Source: the annotation of a GenBank genome assembly
CUUUCGGUAGCAGCUCAGCUGGAAGAGCAUGAAAUUAUGAAACAGAAAAUCUGUGAUAUCCCAAGGUUUCUGGUUCAAUUCCAGUCGGAAGGA